RNAcentral lists this transfer RNA (72 nucleotides) under Camelus bactrianus (Bactrian camel). It matches the Rfam family "tRNA". Rfam says of the family: Transfer RNA (tRNA) molecules are approximately 80 nucleotides in length. Their secondary structure includes four short double-helical elements and three loops (D, anti-codon, and T loops). The record is from Rfam by way of RNAcentral. Lineage: Eukaryota; Metazoa; Chordata; Mammalia; Artiodactyla; Camelidae. RNAcentral also lists the same sequence under 2 other names.
GAGGGUAUAGCUCAGUGAUAGAGUGCAUGCUUAGCAUGCAUGAGGUCCUAGGUUCAAUCCCCAGUACCUCCU